UACGUAGGGGGCUAGCGUUAUCCGGAAUUACUGGGCGUAAAGCGAGCGCAGGUGGUUUAUUAAGUCUGAUGUAAAAGGCAGUGGCUCAACCAUUGUAUGCAUUGGAAACUGGUAGACUUGAGUGCAGGAGAGGAGAGUGGAAUUCCAUGUGUAGCGGUGAAAUGCGUAGAUAUAUGGAGGAACACCGGUGGCGAAAGCGGCUCUCUGGCCUGUAACUGACACUGAGGCUCGAAAGCGUGGGGAGCAAACAGG
This 252-nucleotide ribosomal RNA is filed under the name uncultured bacterium. RNAcentral describes it as "partial 16S ribosomal RNA". It matches the Rfam family "Bacterial small subunit ribosomal RNA", at positions 524 to 776 of the family's 1533-position model. The record is from RNAcentral.